GUGGCUUAUAAUAAUAGUUCGUUAUGUGUAAUUCUCGAGCUCUUCCAUUUAGGAAUGAUUUUGUUCUUAUAUUUCAAUGCUUGGUUUUCUUUUUACAUUUCCCCUUAAAAGAAUCCAAGUCAGAAGCUUGUAAGUCAGUGUUUGUCGUUGGUUUUGUCUGUUAUAUCUGUUUUCGUUUAUUGUUGUAAUGUUACACUACUGUUAUGACGCGGAAUUAGGGUCAUAAAUAUCGAAUUUAACAUAAUAUGGUUGUCGUUUGUUUAUGUGUUACAUAUUUGUUUUUCGUUCAUUUUUUUAUAUAAAUAUGGCCGUUAGUUUUCUCCUUUGAAUUGUUUUACAUUGUCAUAUCGGGGCCUUUAAAUAGCUGACUAUGCGGUAUGGGCUUUGCUCAUUGUUGAAGGCCGUACGGUGACCUAUAGUUGUUAAUGUAUGUGUCAUUUUGGUCUCUUGUGGACAGUUGUCUCAUUGGCAAUCAUACGACAUUGUUUUUUUAAUAUUAUAUCAUUAUAAUAUAGCAAAUGCUAAAAUGAUCUAAGCAAAUGCUAAAAUGAUUUACGCAUAUGCUAAAUUAUAAUAUAGCAUAUGCUAAAAUGAUUUAAGCAUAUGUUAAACUCGAUAUUUAUUACCCUACUAAUAAUUCCGCGUCAUAUAUUGUUGUGUCAUAACUUAGUCAGUUUGUUUUAUUUUGUCGUUUCAUAUUGCCACAUUGUGUACCAUGAAAACUUGUAUCGUUAUCUCUGGUCUUCAAAAAUAUAAGACGAUGGGGUAUCAGUGCCAAUGAAACAACUCUUCAUCCGACUCACAAUUUGCAAAAGAACAGAUGCGGACCUGAUGUCACAUAUUAUGAAACUCACAGCAUGCUUUGAGUUAUUUCGCUUCGUUCCAAUGGGGUUGCACGGCUUUGAAUAUGUACAUGCAGAUUUAGUUUUCAAAUAUUUUUUUUUAUUUUAAAAAGUGAAGAAGUGUCCACAGGAAACUCUGAAUGUAUAAAAUUCAAAUUUUUGAAGACUUAGUUAUAAAC
This 1021-nucleotide long non-coding RNA is filed under the name Mytilus galloprovincialis (Mediterranean mussel). Lineage: Eukaryota; Metazoa; Mollusca; Bivalvia; Mytilida; Mytilidae. The record is from RNAcentral.